CGUACAAGUAAUAUACUGGAAGUAUAUUUAGAAUUA
This 36-nucleotide ribosomal RNA is filed under the name Xiphozele sp. QL-2014. RNAcentral's name for it is "partial 12S ribosomal RNA". The record is from RNAcentral. Lineage: Eukaryota; Metazoa; Arthropoda; Insecta; Hymenoptera; Braconidae.